Molecule: long non-coding RNA, 336 nt
Organism: Sphaerodactylus townsendi
Lineage: Eukaryota; Metazoa; Chordata; Lepidosauria; Squamata; Sphaerodactylidae
Exons: 3
Source: RefSeq, a predicted model, not a curated record
CGUAGAAAAUAACUGCACACUCAUUAUUGUCUCCUGAGCUCACCUCUGUUCACGGAGAUCAACUGCCAUGUUACAAACUUCUGAGGCUCUGAAUUCCAAAGUACUGGAUCUAGGAAGCAAACCUGACAGUUAAAGGUAAAAGAUGAGUUGAGCGUGUUUUGUGGUUCUGAUAUUCUUCUGAACAAGCAAGAGGAGUUGACACAGGUAAAGAAUGCACAAAAUGGGUGACAAGCUGAAACUAUAACCAAAAUGGAGGUCCCUGACACCAAAGCCUGAGAAAUAGCAAUUGUAAUAAGGGUAUUUUCAAGCUUAUUUAUUUACUAUCAAAAGCAGCAA